RNAcentral lists this ribosomal RNA (395 nucleotides) under Annachlamys kuhnholtzi. Its description in RNAcentral is "partial 12S ribosomal RNA". It matches the Rfam family "Bacterial small subunit ribosomal RNA", at positions 778 to 1407 of the family's 1533-position model. Lineage: Eukaryota; Metazoa; Mollusca; Bivalvia; Pectinida; Pectinidae. The record is from RNAcentral.
UUAGAUACCCAUUUAUUCCGACGCAAACUUUGCUUUGGCAGCUGCUUGGGGACUACGAGUGCUUAAAACUCAAAGAACUUGGCGGUUUGUUAACUACCUAGGGGAAUAUGUGCCUUAAUCCGAUGAUCCCCGCCACAUCUUACUGGGCUUUGAAAAAGUGCAGCUGGUGUAUUGCCGUUGUCAGCUUGUUGUUCGAGCAAAAGUAACAGGCUUAAUGGAGCCGUGUCCGUGAAUUCAGGUCGUAAUACCGCCCAUGGCCCAAGGGAGUAGGUGUUACAAUUUCUAUUUAAAACCACGGAGCUCUGAAAUGGAAGGUGAACUUAGGAGUAAGGGGGAAUUAGCAUGUUUCCCUGAACUGAAUCUGGCUUGUGUACAAACUGCCCGUCGCUCUCGCC